CAAGACGAAAGCAGGGGAGCGAAACGGAUUAGAUACCCUGUAGUUCUGCCCGUAACGAUGAACAUUAGGUCGGAGAAUCGAUCUCUUCAGUGUCGUAGCUAACGCGUUAAGUGUCGCCUGGGAGUACGCACGCAAGUGUGAAACUCAAAGGAAUUGACGAGAAUCGCACAAGCGGUGGAGUAUGUGGUUUAAUUCGAUGCAACGCGAAGAACCCUUACCAGGUCUUGACAUACCUGCGAACCUCUUAGAAAUAUGAGAGUGCUUUCGGGAAUGCAGUGCACGGGGUGGUGCAUGGCGGUCGUCAGCUCGUCGGGUGAGAUGUUGGGUUAAUUGGCGCACGGAGGCGCAACCCACGUUUUUAGUUGCCAGCAUUAGUUGGGCACUUUAGAGAGGCCGCCGGUGAUUAACCGGAGGAAGGUGUGGAUGGCGUCAAGUCAUCAUGCCCCUUACACCCUGGGCUACCCACGUAGUACAAUGGUACGGACAAAGGGCAGCAAACUCGCGAGAGCUAGCAAAUUCCAUAAAACGUGGUUCAGUUCAGAUCGUAGGUUGCAACUUGCCUACGUGAAGUUGGAAUCGGUUGUAAUUGCAGGUCAGCCUAGUGCGGUGAAUACGUUUCCGGGCUUUGUACCCCCCCCCCGUCCCCCCAUGGAAAUUGGCCAUCCCCGAAGUCGUUACUUCAACCCUUGUGGAGGAGGACGCCGAAGGUGGGGUUAAUGACUGGGGUGAAGUCGUAACAAGGUAA
RNAcentral lists this ribosomal RNA (745 nucleotides) under uncultured bacterium. Its description in RNAcentral is "bacterial SSU rRNA". It matches the Rfam family "Bacterial small subunit ribosomal RNA", at positions 749 to 1499 of the family's 1533-position model. The record is from RNAcentral.